AAAACGAUGCCGUAUUACACUCACGACGACGAUGACGUGGAUGAGUUCAACGAUUACGAUCCGACGCCGUAUAGCGGAGGCUACGACAUCACCGUGACCUACGGCCGCGCAAUCCCGCCGUCCGACGAGACUUGUUACCCUCUUUCGUCUCGAUCCGGUGACGCCUUCGAGUACCAGCGACCUGUCUUUUCCUCCAAUCAUGAGCCUCCUGCCUAUGGCGACCAGGCUCUCAAGACCGAGUACAGUAGCUAUGCCCGGCCCGGAGGUCACGGAGGCGCUCACGUCGAAGGUGAAUACGGUGGAAGGAAACCGGAGCAUGGCGGAUCUGGAUCUGAUUUUGGCCGGAAACCUGAAUCUGGGUAUGGCGGAAGAACGGAGGUCGAGUACGGACGGAGACCUGAAUCUGGGUAUGGCGGAAGAACGGAGGUUGAGUAUGGCCGGAAACCUGAAUCGGAGCACGGAUCUGGGUAUGGUGGGAGAAUGAAGUCUAAGGAAGAGGAAGAUGGAGACUACAGGAAGCCCAGCUAUGGCCAUCGCAAGGAUAAUGAU
RNAcentral lists this long non-coding RNA (549 nucleotides) under Eutrema salsugineum. Its description in RNAcentral is "long non-coding RNA (ESAL_LNC000458)". Lineage: Eukaryota; Viridiplantae; Streptophyta; Magnoliopsida; Brassicales; Brassicaceae. The record is from RNAcentral.